Molecule: ribosomal RNA, 113 nt
Filed under: Klebsiella oxytoca
Lineage: Bacteria; Pseudomonadati; Pseudomonadota; Gammaproteobacteria; Enterobacterales; Enterobacteriaceae
Also listed under: 13 other names
Source: RNAcentral
GGCGGCACUAGCGCGGUGGUCCCACCUGACCCCAUGCCGAACUCAGAAGUGAAACGCCGUAGCGCCGAUGGUAGUGUGGGGUCUCCCCAUGUGAGAGUAGGGAACUGCCAGGC